Papaver somniferum (opium poppy) is the source of this 844-nucleotide long non-coding RNA. RefSeq lists it as uncharacterized. The transcript has 4 exons. The record is from RefSeq and is a predicted model, not a curated record. NCBI's taxonomy places the organism in Eukaryota, Viridiplantae, Streptophyta, Magnoliopsida, Ranunculales, Papaveraceae.
CUAACUUAUAUUACAGUCAUCUUCCUAAUUGGAUGAACUAAAAGUAUUUAAACGGGAAAUUAAACAUUUAUAGUUUCAGAAGCCCUAGCUUUCUGAAACCGGUAAAAUCGAUUGAUCGAUCAAAUAUCAGUUGAAGAACCAGGAAAAUCUCCCAAUUCCUCUUAAAUCUCUCGCUGCUAACCAAGUUUGAGUUGAAAAGGAAAUUGAGCUUGAUUGUUGAGUAUUUGCGAGGUUUGACGGGUUCUGGUGAAUGGAAUUGUAAUUAUAAUUUUGCAAGAAUCUCCCUCAGCAAACAGAUGGGUCUCUUGUGGUGCCAUCAAGUUUAUUGAGCAUAUGAUUAGGGAUACUUCUUUCUAGAAAAUCGAGCUAAGUAAAACUCCUCGAUUUCGUUGUGAAAUUGCUUUGCAGUUGUUCAAGAAACAAUUCAUAGAGGUUCCAUGUGAUUAAUGUUUUGAAGAAUGUUGGAUCCUUGAGUAGUAUUUUGGGUGCAGUCUGCCUGGCUAGGAUGGGAAUGGAGUAUUGACCCGUUAUCUCCAUGGGCCUCAUGGUACUGGUUACAAUUUCUGUAAACUAAAAAGGGUCCCAAGGAAAACGAAAAUCAGUCUCCAACUGUUUUUAAUAACCGAAUUGCCCAUGCAAUCGCCAAUUCUGUUUUCAAGCAUAUAUUAGUGAAUUUAUUUUCAUUUGAUUUGUGAUCGUUAAUUCUCCUUUUCUAUAAUUCCAUCCUAAAAAUGUCCGACAACUGUUUUUAUGCCGCUUCGAUCUGUAAAUAGCACCACUUACAUUAUAUUGUCGCAUGGGUAAGUAAAAUAGAUAAAAUUAGGAAUUUUAUCCUUUUUGAUCA